Long non-coding RNA from Myotis daubentonii (Daubenton's bat), 1236 nucleotides. RefSeq lists it as uncharacterized. NCBI's taxonomy places the organism in Eukaryota, Metazoa, Chordata, Mammalia, Chiroptera, Vespertilionidae. The transcript is spliced from 2 exons. The record is from RefSeq and is a predicted model, not a curated record.
AACUACAUAAGAGAAUCCUUUCACUCACAAAUGAAAAAUCUGUCCAACAUUUAAAAAUUAAACCACUAAGUUCUAUGUUCAAAAUUAGCAUGCAAUUUCAACUUACUAAUCCUUCCAGUAAUAAAGACAAUAACUAGUUUCAGAAACUCUAUCAUAAAGUUCUCCCUCAACUGUGCACGUCCUUUAAAUAUUUGUAUUUGAUCAGCAUUUGCUAGAGACAGAAAGAAUAUGACAGAAAAACCUAGUCUCUGACUCAUUAUAAGACAGACUUUAGUUUAUAUUUAACAUAUUGCCUGAUGCACGAAAUUUAUGCAAGGGGCUCAGCCCUCACAGUUGCAGCCCCAGCUUCCUCCAGAAGGUUGUCCGAAAGGACGACCAGCUGUCUGGUCUAAUUAGCAUAUUAUGCUUUUAUUAUUAUAGAAGGUAGCCAAUUUCCAAUAUCUGAGCAAGUAAAUCAGUCUCAUGAUCAUUUCUUGUUACAUUUCCACGCUUUUUGUGGUUUAUACUAGACAAAACAAUGGCUCAAAUAUUGUGUUAAAAAUAUCCUCGGUAGCUCUGAGAAAUUCAGGUACCCAAAUGUUAACUUACGAAAGCAUUUCAUUUUCUCAUUAUACUCUACACAUCAAAAUAAAGAUUCCACAAUUUUCCAAAUGCUAACUAUUGACAAGUGAAGCUAUAUAUGCAGAAAGAUUUUAUUAUACAAAAGACACUAAAAAAUAACUGCUCAAUAAUUAUGCAAGCUAUUUACUAGACUGCUUAUUGAAGAAGACUGUAAUUAUUUCAUGGUCCUUACAAAUACUCCAGUUUUUGCUUACUUUCAGAACUCUCCUCUACUUUAGAAAGCUCAUCUUCUUGUACUGGCACACUGAUGUCUUGAAAAUCUUCUCUUCUUUCUGUUAAACUUUCACAUUCUAAACAACGAGUUCUUAAUACCAGCUGACCUUGAAAUAACUUCUCUACAAGCUCAAAACCAAUUUGCUCUGUGCCUAAAACAAAAACAGGAAAAUAUAAGUCUGUAUAUAUUAGUUUUUCAGCAUAGCCCAAGUAACCAAUAUUCAUUUAAAGCAUAUGUGAAUAAAAGGCUGAUUUUCAAAUCUCAACCUGCUUAUUAGCAUUAAAAGGUGCCUUAUUCAUGAAAUGUAAAUUCUAUAAAGGUAGUUUAGAAUACGAAUUACUGUUCUCUAAAUAAAGGAAGUCACAACUGUGUCUUCAUAAUUCCCACCCCCUAGAGAAUAA